Molecule: ribosomal RNA, 443 nt
Filed under: uncultured soil bacterium
Lineage: Bacteria
Description: bacterial SSU rRNA
Rfam family: Bacterial small subunit ribosomal RNA
Source: RNAcentral
AGAGCGAACGCUGGCGGCAGGCCUAACACAUGCAAGUCGAACGGACUCUUCGGAGUUAGUGGCGGACGGGUGAGUAACACGUGGGAACGUGCCUUUUGGUUCGGAAUAGCUCCUGGAAACGGGUGGUAAUGCCGAAUGUGCCCUUCGGGGGAAAGAUUUAUCGCCAUUAGAGCGGCCCGCGUCUGAUUAGCUAGUUGGUGAGGUAAAGGCUCACCAAGGCGACGAUCAGUAGCUGGUCUGAGAGGAUGACCAGCCACAUUGGGACUGAGACACGGCCCAAACUCCUACGGGAGGCAGCAGUGGGGAAUCUUGCGCAAUGGGGCGAAAGCCUGACGCAGCCAUGCCGCGUGAAUGAUGAAGUCUAGAUUAGUAAAUUCUUUCACCGGGACGAUAAUGACGGUACCCGGAGAAGAAGCCCGGCUAACUCGUCGCCAGCAAGCCGC